This 469-nucleotide ribosomal RNA is filed under the name Pichia membranifaciens. RNAcentral describes it as "eukaryotic LSU rRNA". The stretch from base 91 to 243 matches the Rfam family "5.8S ribosomal RNA". The record is from RNAcentral. Lineage: Eukaryota; Fungi; Ascomycota; Pichiomycetes; Pichiales; Pichiaceae.
UUGCUCUGUGAUAACCACACCACACUGUGUGGGCGCACAAAACACCUAAACCUGGAGUAUACACACGUCAACAAAAGAUUAAAAGAAUAAAACUUUCAACAACGGAUCUCUUGGUUCUCGCAUCGAUGAAGAGCGCAGCGAAAUGCGAUACCUAGUGUGAAUUGCAGCCAUCGUGAAUCAUCGAGUUCUUGAACGCACAUUGCGCCCGUCGGUAUUCCGGCGGGCAUGCCUGUCUGAGCGUCGUUUCCUUCUUGUGCACCGCGGGGUCUUUGCAGAUCCUCUCUGCGCAGAGCUGGCCGUGCCACUGGCCCGGCCGAAAAGAAACGUUGCGGACGAAGCGAACUACAUCGGGACGCUUUGGCCGCCGAGCGAAAAAAAAACACCAUUGAGCUCGACCUCAGAUCAGGUAGGAGUACCCGCUGAACUUAAGCAUAUCAAUAGUCGGAGAAAGGAUCAUUACUGUGAUUAU